GACCUGCUCCCGCCUCACACGUUACCUGGGGCUGACACGUGACCGCGACGCCACGUGACUCGGGUCUCGCCUCCGACCCCCGCCCGGUCUCCGGCCGGCGGAAGCGGAAGGCGGGCGGUGGGUGCGGCUGGUCACCUCCUGGAGGGGCCUCUGGGUCCCGCCUGGGGCUGCCGGAUGAAAAGAGGGGUUGGGACCGGACGUGCGGCUCUCCACCGCGGGCCGAGGGUGGGAGUCCCACGGCGGCCGCCCCACGGGAGACGAGAGGGCGUUUCCGCAGGGACGCUGAUGCUAACGCGUCUCUCGGCCUCGGGGCCCGUGGAGAAUCCGGGCUGGGGGGUAGGAAGGAGGGGGAUGUGAACACGCGUACUGAGUGUUACCCCUCGUGCUGGAAAAACACACAAGGCACAGGAUGUAAAGCUAGACACAAUCUUGACUGAAGGGGCUUCAGAGGGUUCGGUGGCUCCCGGCUGUCACCUCGUCCUGGAGGCCGUGGCGGAGCGGCGGCCUUUCCCGGAAGGUUCAGAAGGGCCCCAAGCUGCCCAGGGAAGGAAAUCGCAGCCUCGCUGCUUCCAGAACUUUCCUGAAGUGCCUCUCACUCACUCCCCAGUUCCUGAUUUGCUUCUAGGCUCUGCCCGGUUCUUCUCUUUCUCGACUGCUGCCCGCGCUCUGGCCACACGGGCCCUUUGCAGAGAGAGGUGACGCCCUCCUGCCCUGCUGCUUCGUUGAGCACUUCCAACCCCACCCCCUGGGGAAACGUGCCUCCAGUUCACCUUCAGUGCAGGUGUGUUGGUUACUACCUGUUAUAGGCUUUGAUUUUUGUGACUUUUUUUGUUGUUGUUCUUACAUUUGUUUGCUUUUUGUAGAUUUUGUCUUCCUUGUUCUUUCUUCCUGUCCAGUUUCCCUUCCCCGCCACCUUCUAAUACCAUCAGCUGAACAAGUCGUGACACUGAAGGAUUUCAAGUAAGAGGAAAGCAAAGAGGCCGAGGGAGCCCCAGGCUCGUUGGGUUUUGUCGACUGAAAGUUGAGAGCUGUGUUUUUUUCAGGGAUCGUUCUUAGGACUUCAAGCCGGGUCAUCUCAACCCCGAGAAUCCGAGGGGGGAGCCAGGAUAUAUAGGAGUUUUUGCAACAAAGGGCAGGUAGUCGGAAUGUCAAAAGAUUAUCGUUAAUUAAGGAAAACCAGGUAUCUCAAGUUAAGGAAUUUAGCGCUUUUCUAUGUAUGGAGAGAUGCAAGAGUCUGGGCUCACUGAAAUCAUUCCUUUGAUCUGCACCUCAGCUCUCUGGGGCCAGCGUCCUGUGCUCUCUCAUCCUGAGUCCCCUCAGGGCUCACCGUCUGGGGUAGUUGCAGUGUGAUGACUCCGUGAUGGCAGGCAUUCCUUGUUUCCUUCGUGAGUCUUCUCAGGCUGCAGGGUGGGUAGUGGCUGCAGUUACUGAUGACUGAUGGCUGCAGUGUCCUUCCUUACUGACAUGGCAGGCAGCAUUCUUAGUCCACAGGUUGUUCAGCUCUUUGGGGCAGAAAUCUACUGUUACUACAGAGUUGAUUUGCUGAUGUCUUGUUUAGGUGUUUAGGGAUCUUUCUGGAUUUUUUGUUUGUUGCUGUUCCAAAUGGGGAAGAGUCUCAGCGGGAUCCCAUUUGAGAGAAGUGCUGUCUGUUGAAGUGUGCCGUGGGAAAGAGGAGGUGUUGGAUCUGCGGUCUCUAUGCUUUCACUGUGAGGUCCCUUAUCAGCAGCAGGUUGUUAACAUGAUGUUUGUACAGUAGGUUAUUAUCUGAGCCUGAGCUGUCCCUAUGAAGUAGAGUGUUCAGUUCAGAUGUAACUGGAAAAUUCUAAAAUAUUUCCCUUUUCUCUUGAACUUUCUGAUGGUGAGAAACUACCAAAAAAUCUUGAGUAUGGAAACAAAAGACCUAUUAAUUUUGUGCUUCUCAGCCUUGGAAGCCCCUUCCUCUGUUGAGAGAACGCCUUACCCUCUGAAUAUGGUUGGCAGACAGAGCACCCAGCAGAAGUUGAAAAAACCAGAUGGUCACUUUCCCAGCCUUCCUAGCGGCUAAGGUGCGAGCUCAGCUCGAGUUCAGCCCAUUAGACUGGAUCAGGAGCUAGUGGUUGCCCCUGAACGUGGUGUUUGCUGGUGACGGCAGCUGUAGCCGCAGCAAAGUGGCAUUUCUCCAGGCGGUGGUGAAGGGUCUUCACCGGGUUGUUUGUAGUGUCUUCAGCCGUGGCCCUUGCUGCCCCCUCGCGCCUGCUAUUUCCCUAGCGUCAUUCUGCAUUCCUUUUGGAAAUUCUGUGAGCUACUCAGAGGCCUUUCAACAGGGGAUUUUUCUGCUUAGACCCAUCAGAGCACAUUUCUACUGUGUCCAACUGCCCAAUACACGCUGUGUUUGAAAUCUUCUCUUUUUAAAGACCAAAAAGGAGUUUGUGUGAGCAAAAGAACAGGGUGUAAAAAAAACAGCAGAAAAAUGAAAGGUUUAGCAAAAAUUCUAUGAAGUUACAUUUUAAUAGAGUAUGGAAAAGUAAUAUGGUGGGAUUUUCUUGUUUGGUAUUCUUUUUGUUUGAAUUCUUAAUGAAGGCUGGGUCUGAUCUGGGUUUUUUUCUUCUUGGCCGCGCCACGCGGCUUGUGGGAUCUUAGUUCCCUGACCAGGGAUCAAACCCGUGCCCCCUGCAAUGGAAGCACAGAGUCCUAACCAGUGGACCGCCAGGGAAGUCCUGGAUCUGAACUAUUCUGAUUGAAGGAAAGAUGGGGAAAACCAAGCACAGUGAAGGACUCCACACCUUCUGAAUUCUUUUGGAGACUUUUUUAAAGCCUUUUAAAAACAAAGCAGUGAGGGCAGUGAGUGGAGAGGCCUCUGCGGAGCUGAGCAGGGACUGGGGACCCUGCUUUGGUAAUAAUGAGCGGGCGAGUUCACAGGUGAAAGGUGGGGCCUUUUACCUGUGAAAUGACCUCGUGCCGCUAGGAGGGUGUGGGCUCAGUAGCUAAGGAGAUAAGUGAUGGCUGAUGGUGAAAUCUAGAGGAACGGACUAGCAGGCAGUCUGUGCUUUUUUCCCUCUUUUGCUCUAAGUUACGCUUUUUCUUGAGACUUGGUAAGCAAAACUAGUAAUGUCGCAUAGUGCUGUCGUUUUUAAAGCUUGUUUUAUGAAAUUUCUAAAAGGGAAAUUUUGAAUAAAAUUAGGAUAAUCCAGUGAGUGCUGUUGUACCGUUACUUUUACCAUUUUCCCUCCCUCCUCACUUGUUUUGUGUUUUGGUUGGUUUGGGGGCUUGAGUGUUAUAAAACAAACCUCAGACAUUAUAUUUUUCAUGUAAAUCUUUUACAUAAACAGAAUGCCACUAUUGUAGCUAAUAUAAAAACAAAACCUAAGAAUUCCUUAGUAACUAAUUUCCAGUUUAUGUUCACACGUCUCCAGUUGUCCAGAAAACAUCUUUUUACAGCCAGUGUGCUCCCUGUGGCUCCGGCGAGGUCUGCACGCUGCCCUUGAUGGCGUGUCUCAAGUCCCCGUGUUGGGGAAGGGGAAACGAGACCACUUGUCCUGUAGGACACCCACACUUUGGGUUGACCUGCUGGAGCAGACCUGUAAGGAAGAAUUUUCCAUCGUGGACCAGUUGGUUACUCCAGAGUACCGUCCCUACAGGAAAGCUGGGAUCCGUGCCUGGUUCGAGAUGCUUUUGUCUGGCUUCAGAGGAAGAACUCAGUGCCGAAGCAGCUUCCAGAAGUGAACUGCCGCACCCGCGUGAGGCGUGCGCUCUGGGGGGUGAUGACCUGUCGGUGCGGGUUCCUCAGCGUUGACCGGCGCCCCACCUGGUGCGGACACUGAUGGUGGGGGAGGCCAUGUGUGGCGGGGAGGUAGCAGAGGGGCUGUGGGAACUCUGUACUUUCAAUUUUGCUAUGAACCUGAAGCUGCUCUAAAAAAUCCAGUUUAUUAGAAAACAAAGUGAACAUCACAUUUUAAAAAAUGUGAUGUUAAAGUGCUGUGUCACCGUGGAUUUCUGUAUAGUUGAUAUGUCUUCAGUCUUUGUAGUUAUUAUCAUUUUCAGGUUAAAAUUGUGUGGUCUUGGUAGUGCAGCCUCCUAGAUGUGAGUAACUGUGAUAUUCCUCUCCGCGUGGGCUGCCCCUGUUGCUGUCCCACCAGCGAUGCAUCAGCAGAGAGCCUGUGUGCCCACAGCCUGACCCUGGCCUGUACGAAAUUAUGUCCCUGCAGUUUUCAUUUGCAUUUUCCUUAUGAGUGGGGCACCUGCCUUUUUGCCCAUCUUUCUAUCAGAUUAUAGAGAUAUUUGCAAUACAAGUCACAUUUUUAAAGUCAGUGUAUCAUUUUUAGAAUCAUUUUGUUUGCUUAUGGCAUGUCUUUGUGGAAGUUCUUUUGUUUAAACGUGGGUGAAUUGAUCACUCUUCCGUAGCAUUUGGGUUUUAAGUCCUUCCUAGUCCUAGGUUAGAAGACUCUGUCUCUUCUGCCAAUGCAUGUGUAGUUUCAUUUCUGCAUUUGUAUCUCUGAUUCAGGAUGCCAACGGGCAGGGCAGAGAAGGGGUCCAUGUCACCCUUCCCGUGCAGGUCUCUAGGUAUCCUCCUUCCACUUAUCGAAAGCUCCCCUUUUGUGCACUGAUUUGAGAUUCCACCUCGUCCUGUGCUGACGUGAGAACAUACUUGACUUGAUUUUUGGAGCUGCCCCAGCACCACUCUUUUGAAGUUAUAGAUGCUGUAUCUGCGGGGCCAGCUCCACUCUUGAAGUUAUAGGUGCUGUAUCUGCGGGGCCAGCUCCCUCACUUUUCUCCUUCAGGGUUUUUCUGACUGUUGUUGUCUAUUUGGCCAUGUGAUCUUUUGCAAUCAAGUUGUCUUUGAAGAUAAAGUUAACGUUCACCCGAGAGAAAUUCUGACUUAGGUUGGCAGUGUUUACGGCAGCUGUAGCCAUCAUUGCCCCAGGCUGCACGCAGGCGGUGGCGGGGAUCCUCCGGGCACUUGGGAAGUGCAGGACAUUCUGGAAAGGGCAAAACUGUUGGGAUUGGCGGGGCUGGGGCAGCCCGAGGGGGUCUGGGCUGACGGUGACGAGGGGGUGGGGAUGGGACUUUGAAGGUUUGCCAAACCCAUAGGAACGUGCACCCCGAAGACUGGACUUCAUGUUAAUUUUAAAGCUACCAAGCAGGAUGUGGGGGUGCAGUCCGUGACAAAGGUGACUGUCCUGGUGGUCCUGUGGCCACACCCCAACCCCAGGAACUCCGUGUGUGGACCGGAGAUCUGUGUGGACACUGUCCUCUGGCUGGUCAGCUCAUUCUCCCUGGGGUAGGUUAGCGGUUCUGAAGCUGUACGUUUACCGGUGUUGAACAAAUAAGGAGAUAUUUUGCAGAUAAUGAGAACUGGCAGGUUCCUUGCUGUGGGAGCGAGAAGCCGCGGGGGGAAGAGGGGAUCCUGUGAGCUGGAGCUCAUAUGUGUGUUUAGAACACAGAUCGACGGAGAGUCACGGAAAUCCACAGAGCCGGGCGUUUGCGCGCGUCGGACUGUCUCCUGAGUGCCCGCUGAGGGCCGAGAAGCACAGCCCUGCAGGUGAGGGUCCUGAGGACGCUCCCUGGGAAAGGAGCCAGGCGGUGCCCACCCGGGGCCUCGGGGACGCAGGUGCCAACCUGAGCUGCCAGCAGCCCUGGGCGCUGGAUGAGGAGGUGAUGCUGACAGCAUUGGGGCGGAAUCCAAAGGGUGGGGUAAAUGUCGCUGAGAAGUGAGGGAACACAGGGCAUGUCCUCCUCACAGAGCCUCCAGCACGGAGGGCCGUGGGCAGUGACCGCUGCGACCGCUGCCGGCGCCCCGGGGGACCGGUGCUCGAAGCUCAAGGGCAGACGGCGUCCGUAUGGUCUCAGAGACGUCUCCAAAUAGCUCUUUCUUAACUACAAAGAAAAAAGGAGUCAUUGUGCAGUGGAGACGCCACCUGCCUCAGCUGUGAGGGUCCCUGUCCCUGGUGACACCGCUGUGCCCUCCUGUCCUUCCUGGUGACCUGUGCCGCAGGCCAGUCCUCAGUAUGGAGCAGGUGGUGGGGCGGCUGGCGACGGCUGACCCUGCUCCUCAGAAGCCUCCAGGUCACGGAGACAGGGACCAAGGGGACUGUCCCAGGUGGGGGCCUGAGGAUCCAGGGUCAGCUCCCAGGACAGAGAUGGGCAUUUGCAGAAAUACUGGUGACGUCCUCGUCCACCGCGUGGCGUAGCCAGUAGCGUCGGAGCAGGGCCACCCUCGUUGCAGAUGGUACAUGCUUUCCUUCCCAGAGGGGCUCAUGUCCCGGGAAGUGUGGAGACCGGGGGAGGGGACUCUGGUGCCCCUGCAGCUCUUCUGUGAGUCCCAAACUGAAAGAAUCUUUUUUUUUUUUUUUUUUUUUUUUUUUGCGGUACGCGGGCCUCUCACUGUUGUGGCCUCUCCCGUUGCGGAACACAGGCUCCGGACGCACAGGCUCAGUGGCCAUGGCUCACGGGCCCAGCCGCUCCGCGGCAUGUGGGAUCUUCCCGGACAGGGUCACGAACUUGCGUCCCCUGCAUUGGCAGGCGGACUCUCAACCACUGCACCACCAGGGAAGCCCCCGAAAGAAUCUUUACUGGGAUCACGUGGUGAUUAUCAGUCAGCUGUGAGGAUGUGACGUCUUUGUGGUGUCCCUGUCGUCCUCUGAAAAGGACGCACGACGUGAGCCCCGAGUUUCCGCGUGAUUCGGGGACAGCCCGUCAUCCAGCUCCGGGGAGCCGCUACGAGGAGGGGGGCCUCGUGGAGGGUCGCUGCCUGUCACGGGGACAGGUGUACCCGUGAAUGACUCUAGCGCUUUCCUGAGGGUGGGAAGAUGCAAGGAUCCGGUCUGUAAAUGUUGUUCCUAGAGUGUAAUCGUCGAAGGGCCUGUUUUCCCAAAGCGCCAGGCCUCAUUCCGUCCUGGGUCUGCGCUCCCCUCGGGCUGCGCUGUGUGCGCCCGGCGCCCCAUGGCUUGAUCCUCGGGGAACCAGAUGGUGGGGACGUCCUUUGUUUUACACUAUAAUUAAUUGAAGUCUAGCUUAUGCUGCUUUUGAAGAGUUUACUGUCUUACUGUGUGAAGAUAACAGGUGCUGUGAUAGGCAAAUUGGAACAAAAGGGGGAAAUUCAAUGUUCACGUCAACCAGCUAUGUAUUGUGAUAUUUAAAGGCUCUUUUCCAUGUAUUUGUGCUUUUUAAAAAAAUUAUUGUUGCAUUUUGUAUCCUCCUCUUUUCACUUGUAACAAAUAUUUUCCCAUGCUAUUACAAACUCUAUAAAUACACUGUUAAUAGUACCUGUUAUUACA
This is a long non-coding RNA of Orcinus orca (killer whale), 7253 nucleotides long. RefSeq lists it as uncharacterized. The record is from RefSeq and is a predicted model, not a curated record. Lineage: Eukaryota; Metazoa; Chordata; Mammalia; Artiodactyla; Delphinidae. The transcript is spliced from 2 exons.